Molecule: small RNA, 635 nt
Filed under: Spisula solidissima (Atlantic surf clam)
Lineage: Eukaryota; Metazoa; Mollusca; Bivalvia; Venerida; Mactridae
Description: cnRNA118
Source: RNAcentral
GCACCCGACAUAUUCACCAGAGCACGGAAAGCAGCACCCAACAUAUUCACCAGAGCAGGGAAAGCAGCACCCAACAUAUUCACCACAGCAGGGAAAGCAGCACCCAACAUAUUCACCAGAGCACGGAAAGCAGCACCCAACAUAUUCACCACAGCACGGAAAGCAGCACCCAACAUAUUCACCACAGCACGGAAAGCAGCACCCAACAUAUUCACCAGAGCACGGAAAGCAGCACCCAACAUAUUCACCAGAGCACGGAAAGCAGCACCCAACAUAUUCACCAGAGCACGGAAAGCAGCACCCAACAUAUUCGACAGAGCACGGAAAGCAGCACCCAACAUAAUCACCAGAGCACGGAAAACAGCACCCAACAAAUUCACCAGAGCAGGGAAAGCAGCACCCAACAUAUUCACCACAGCAGGGAAAGCAGCACCCAACAUAUUCACCAGAGCAGGGAAAGCAGCACCCAACAUAAUCACCAGAGCAGGGAAAGCAGCACCCAACAUAUUCACCAGAGCACGGAAAGCAGCACCCAACAUAUUCACCAGAGCAGGGAAAGCAGCACCCAACAUAUUCACCAGGUCAGGGAAAGCAGCACCCAACAUAUUCACCACAGCAGGGCAAGCAGCACCCAA